UUUGCUUCUUGGCCUUUUGGCUCUGAUCAAGUGUAGUAUCUGUUUUUAUCUGAUUAAUAUCUGAAAGGGACCAUGUAUUAAAUAGUCUUUUGUUUUUUUUGGUACUGCUGGAUAGAACAGGUGCUUGCUUCGUCUGCUCCGUGCAUUGACCUGGUAUUGCAGCAGCUCCAGGAGCGAUGCACUUCCU
Small nuclear RNA from Fundulus heteroclitus (mummichog), 187 nucleotides. RefSeq annotates it as U2 spliceosomal RNA. NCBI's taxonomy places the organism in Eukaryota, Metazoa, Chordata, Actinopteri, Cyprinodontiformes, Fundulidae. The transcript has a single exon. The record is from RefSeq and is a predicted model, not a curated record.